GAUGAACGCUAGCGGCAGGCCUAACACAUGCAAGUCGAGGGGCAGCACAGAAACAGCAAUGUUUUGGUGGCGACCGGCGGACGGGUGCGUAACGCGUAUGCAACCUACCUUUAACAGGGGGAUAACGGAGAGAAAUUUCCACUAAUAACCAAUAACAUAGAUCAUGGCAUCUUGAUUGGUUGAAAACUCCGGUGGUUACAGAUGGGCAUGCGUUGUAUUAGGUAGUUGGUGAGGUAAUGGCUCACCAAGCCUACGAUACAUAGGGGGACUGAGAGGUUAGCCCCCCACACUGGUACUGAGACACGGACCAGACUCCUACGGGAGGCAGCAGUGAGGAAUAUUGGUCAAUGGGGGCAACCCUGAACCAGCCAUGCCGCGUGCAGGAAGACGGCUCUAUGAGUUGUAAACUGCUUUUAAACAGGGAUAAAGCACAGUAUGUAUACUGUGUUGAAGGUACUGUAAGAAUAAGGAUCGGCUAACUCCGUGCCAGCCGCCGCCGUAA
This 502-nucleotide ribosomal RNA is filed under the name uncultured bacterium. RNAcentral describes it as "partial 16S ribosomal RNA". It matches the Rfam family "Bacterial small subunit ribosomal RNA", at positions 28 to 523 of the family's 1533-position model. The record is from RNAcentral.